RNAcentral lists this ribosomal RNA (225 nucleotides) under uncultured bacterium. RNAcentral describes it as "partial 16S ribosomal RNA". It matches the Rfam family "Bacterial small subunit ribosomal RNA", at positions 91 to 334 of the family's 1533-position model. The record is from RNAcentral.
UCGAGCGGCGGACGGCUGAGUAACGCGUAGGAACGUACCCCAAACUGAGGGAUAACUGCCCGAAAGGGUAGCUAAUACCGCAUGUGAUCUUCGGAUUAAAGCUUCGGCGGUUUGGGAACGGCCUGCGUAUGAUUAGCUUGUUGGUGAGGUAAAAGCUCACCAAGGCGACGAUCAUUAGCUGGUCUGAGAGGAUGAUCAGCCAGACUGGGACUGAGAACGGCCCAG